Molecule: ribosomal RNA, 164 nt
Filed under: uncultured bacterium
Lineage: Bacteria
Description: partial 16S ribosomal RNA
Rfam family: Bacterial small subunit ribosomal RNA
Source: RNAcentral
UAGGGAAUCUUCCACAAUGGGCGAAAGCCUGAUGGAGCAACGCCGCGUGUGUGAUGAAGGGUUUCGGCUCGUAAAACACUGUUGUAAGAGAAGAAUGACAUUGAGAGUAACUGUUCAGUGUGUGACGGUAUCUUACCAGAAAGGAACGGCUAAAUACGUGCCAG